This 484-nucleotide ribosomal RNA is filed under the name uncultured bacterium. RNAcentral describes it as "bacterial SSU rRNA". It matches the Rfam family "Bacterial small subunit ribosomal RNA", at positions 30 to 507 of the family's 1533-position model. The record is from RNAcentral.
AUUGAACGCUGGCGGCAUGCCUUACACAUGCAAGUCGAACGGCAGCACGGGAGCAAUCCUGGUGGCGAGUGGCGAACGGGUGAGUAAUAUAUCGGAACGUGCCCAGUCGUGGGGGAUAACGUAGCGAAAGCUACGCUAAUACCGCAUACGAUCUAUGGAUGAAAGCGGGGGAUCGCAAGACCUCGCGCGAUUGGAGCGGCCGAUAUCAGAUUAGGUAGUUGGUGGGGUAAAGGCUCACCAAGCCGACGAUCUGUAGCUGGUCUGAGAGGACGACCAGCCACACUGGGACUGAGACACGGCCCAGACUCCUACGGGAGGCAGCAGUGGGGAAUUUUGGACAAUGGGCGCAAGCCUGAUCCAGCAAUGCCGCGUGCAGGAUGAAGGCCUUCGGGUUGUAAACUGCUUUUGUACGGAACGAAACGGUGAGCUCUAAUACAGUUUGCUAAUGACGGUACCGUAAGAAUAAGCACCGGCUAACUACGUG